UAAGGUUGAAAACGUGGGGUAAGAGCCCACGCGGGACAGCCGUGUGAGCGGCGCCGUGGAAAACCCUGCCUGGUGCAAGAGCAAGUUUGGUAGCUCGCUAGAGGUCGUCGGCAACGACGAUCCCAGAUAGAUGGCCGUCCGUCGUCAGAUGUGCGUUUCGUGCGUCGGGCGACGACAGAAUCCGGCUUACAGGUCGACCAUGAAU
Molecule: RNase P RNA, 205 nt
Filed under: Candidatus Uhrbacteria bacterium
Lineage: Bacteria; Candidatus Uhriibacteriota
Description: partial RNase P RNA component class A
Rfam family: Bacterial RNase P class A
About the family: Ribonuclease P (RNase P) is a ubiquitous endoribonuclease, found in archaea, bacteria and eukarya as well as chloroplasts and mitochondria. Its best characterised activity is the generation of mature 5'-ends of tRNAs by cleaving the 5'-leader elements of precursor-tRNAs.
Source: RNAcentral